AACCAGCACCUCAAGUGGUCAGGAUGAUUAUUGGGCCUAAAGCAUCCGUAGCCUGUUCUGUAAGUUUUCGGUUAAAUCUAUGCGCUCAACGUAUAGGCUGCCGAAAAUACUGCAGAACUAGGGAGUGGGAGAGGUAGACGGUACUCGGUAGGAAGGGGUAAAAUCCUUUGAUCUAUUGAUGACCACCUGUGGCGAAGGCGGUCUACCAGAACACGUUCGACGGUGAGGGAUGAAAGCUGGGGGAGCAAACCGGAUUAGAUACCCGGGUAGUCCCAGCUGUAAACGAUGCAAACUCGAUGAUGCGUUGGCUUAUUGCUAGCGCAGUGUCGCAGGGAAGCCGUUAAGUUUGCCGCC
This 354-nucleotide ribosomal RNA is filed under the name uncultured Nitrososphaerota archaeon. Its description in RNAcentral is "bacterial SSU rRNA". It matches the Rfam family "Archaeal small subunit ribosomal RNA", at positions 474 to 828 of the family's 1478-position model. The record is from RNAcentral. Lineage: Archaea; Thermoproteati; Nitrososphaerota.